This 185-nucleotide ribosomal RNA is filed under the name uncultured bacterium. RNAcentral's name for it is "partial 16S ribosomal RNA". It matches the Rfam family "Bacterial small subunit ribosomal RNA", at positions 1315 to 1500 of the family's 1533-position model. The record is from RNAcentral.
ACUACACGAAGCUGGAAUCGCUAGUAAUCGCGGAUCAGAAUGUCGCGGUGAAUACGUUCCCGGGUCUUGUACACACCGCCCGUCACACCAUGGGAGUCGGGAAUGCCCGAAGUCAGUGACCCAACCUAUUGGAGGGAGCUGCCGAAGGCAGGUCUGAUAACUGGGUGAAGUCGUAACAAGGUACC